This 897-nucleotide ribosomal RNA is filed under the name Juxtiphoma eupyrena. RNAcentral describes it as "eukaryotic LSU rRNA". It matches the Rfam family "Eukaryotic large subunit ribosomal RNA", at positions 1 to 955 of the family's 3401-position model. Lineage: Eukaryota; Fungi; Ascomycota; Dothideomycetes; Pleosporales; Didymellaceae. The record is from RNAcentral.
GAAAUCUUAAGAUUAAGGUUAUGAGAGAACACAGGGUUUGCCCUAGUAACGGCGAGUGAAGCGGCAACAGCUCAAAUUUGAAAUCUGGCGUCUUCGGCGUCCGAGUUGUAAUUUGCAGAGGGCGCUUUGGCAUUGGCAGCGGUCCAAGUUCCUUGGAACAGGACGUCACAGAGGGUGAGAAUCCCGUACGUGGUCGCUAGCCUUUACCGUGUAAAGCCCCUUCGACGAGUCGAGUUGUUUGGGAAUGCAGCUCUAAAUGGGAGGUAAAUUUCUUCUAAAGCUAAAUACUGGCCAGAGACCGAUAGCGCACAAGUAGAGUGAUCGAAAGAUGAAAAGCACUUUGGAAAGAGAGUUAAAAAGCACGUGAAAUUGUUGAAAGGGAAGCGCUUGCAGCCAGACUUGCCUGUAGUUGCUCAUCCGGGUUUCUACCCGGUGCACUCUUCUAUAGGCAGGCCAGCAUCAGUUUGGGCGGUUGGAUAAAGGUCUCUGUCAUGUACCUCCUUUCGGGGAGAACUUAUAGGGGAGACGACAUGCAACCAGCCCGGACUGAGGUCCGCGCAUCUGCUAGGAUGCUGGCGUAAUGGCUGUAAGCGGCCCGUCUUGAAACACGGACCAAGGAGUCUAACAUCUAUGCGAGUGUUUGGGUGUCAAGCCCGAACGCGUAAUGAAAGUGAACGGAGGUGGGAACCUUUCGGGGUGCACCAUCGACCGAUCCUGAUGUCUUCGGAUGGAUUUGAGUAAGAGCAUAGCUGUUGGGACCCGAAAGAUGGUGAACUAUGCUUGAAUAGGGUGAAGCCAGAGGAAACUCUGGUGGAGGCUCGCAGCGGUUCUGACGUGCAAAUCGAUCGUCAAAUUUGGGCAUAGGGGCGAAAGACUAAUCGAACUAUCAGUGCUGCC